This 407-nucleotide ribosomal RNA is filed under the name uncultured bacterium. Its description in RNAcentral is "partial 16S ribosomal RNA". It matches the Rfam family "Bacterial small subunit ribosomal RNA", at positions 355 to 774 of the family's 1533-position model. The record is from RNAcentral.
UGGGGAAUAUUGCACAAUGGGCGGAAGCCUGAUGCAGCAACGCCGCGUGCGGGAUGACGGCCUUCGGGUUGUAAACCGCUUUCGCCUGUGACGAAGCGUGAGUGACGGUAAUGGGUAAAGAAGCACCGGCUAACUACGUGCCAGCGGCCGCGGCGAUACGUAGGGUGCGAGCGUUGUCCGGAUUUAUUGGGCGUAAAGGGCUCGUAGGUGGUUGAUCGCGUCGGAAGUGUAAUCUUGGGGCUUAACCCUGAGCGUGCUUUCGAUACGGGUUGACUUGAGGAAGGUAGGGGAGAAUGGAAUUCCUGGUGGAGCGGUGGAAUGCGCAGAUAUCAGGAGGAACACCAGUGGCGAAGGCGGUUCUCUGGGCCUUUCCUGACGCUGAGGAGCGAAAGCGUGGGGAGCGAACA